This 5426-nucleotide long non-coding RNA is filed under the name Ictidomys tridecemlineatus (thirteen-lined ground squirrel). Its description in RNAcentral is "lncRNA (ENSSTOG00000031832.1)". Lineage: Eukaryota; Metazoa; Chordata; Mammalia; Rodentia; Sciuridae. The record is from RNAcentral.
CAUUAAAUUAUUGCAUAUAUGACCAUAUUGUUAUUUUGAUUAAACAUAUAGCCGUCCACAAUUGUUAAAAGAAUCAGAUUCCUCCAAAAUUGCUCUGGAUCGAAGUACUGCCUCUGUGUGUGAGACAGAUCAUAGUGAAAGGAGAACACAUAGGAAGAUCAAACCAAAUGUUGCUAAAGGGCGUGGAUCAAAACGAGCUCGGGGUAAAACCUCAAAGAAGGAACCUAGAGCUUCCAAGUCAACGCUGGUGACUCUUCGGGCUUCCCAGGAAGAAGAUGAAGAUGAUACUGAAGAUUUUGAAUCUGACUAUGAAGAAGAAAACUAUCAUCUUGCCCCAGAAGAAUUAAACAAGGCACCAGUGUUUGUUCCCAUUGGUCUGAGAUCCCCUGAACCUGUUUCUGCUCAGAUUGAGGAAACAAUGGAAGAGCUUGAAAUAACUGAGAAUGUUGCAGAUAUAGGAUGUGUAACUAUUGUUGAACAUGAGCUUUCAAACACAGAUGUAUCUACUCAGGAAGUAAAAGAAGAAAAAAAUUUGAAUACAUCAUCAUUUGAAAUAACCACAGGUGAACAGACCCAAGAUGAACCAGGCACCAAUGAUGGAAGUACUGAAGCUGCCAUAACUUUACUAACAAUGGGAGAUCUAGUAUUGCAGUCAGAGAUCAGCACUGAACAGGGUGAUGAUAAUGUAAAUCACAAAAUUGUUCAUGAAUAUCAGGAGGUUUUUUCACCUGUCAUUAGUACAUCUCCUGCAUCAUUUGAAGAAAACAAGAUUGUACUGGAGGAACAAAGUACUAGAGAAGAAGUUGGUUUAAUGGAAGAAGUCAAGAAGAAUGCUACAUUGACCAGGAAUACAACUUCUAAAGUGACCAAUAAUUUGAGAAUGAGAAGUAGAUUUGUCAAGCCAAAGCCAAAUCUUGAGAAGGUUUUACGGACCAACAGGUUUCAUGCUCAUCAGAAAGUUCCCGGUUUUUGUGUUUUAAAGGGGGAAGAAGUAGAAAUUCAAAGAGAAACUGAGAAAAAUGCUUCCAAAGCAACAGAAUUGGGAGAGAAAAGCUUUGGGCAAGUUACAACAACAGAGAGUAAGGAGCAGAACAAAUUGGCAUCUGUACAUGAUAUCAAAGGGACCAGUAUUUCACAAGAAGCAAACUUAACAGAAAGAAAUGAAGAUCAAGAGGAGAGAUCUCAAGAGGUUGAGAUAGUGUCAGUUACUCCAGUUGUUUCCUCUGAGCAAGGACCCCAUACCCUUGAUUCGGCUAGGGAUCUUGGUGAGAGUUCUUUUGAAGAGCCCCUGAGAAAGAACACAGAAGGAGACAGUGUGCUCAAACAUCAUGUGCCAGAGUGUAUACCAACCAGUAUUCCAGAAGUCCAACAAGAGAGUGUAAUCAAUUCUGAAGACCUAACAGUGAAUCUGUUUGCUGAUGUACAAGAUGGAGAGGAUGAACAAGCAUUCAUUUUAACUCUGGUAGAAAUCCCAACCAAUGCUACAGAAGAAUUUACGGAUGCUGCUCAGUUAAUGCCAAACCCUUUACUACCAGCACCCAUAUUGGUCAAAUCCAUUAAUACUGAAGAAAUAGGCGAUAUGAGUAAGCGUUUACCACUAACUUCAGUUGGUCAAGAUGCCAUGUGUUUAUCUAAUUCUGCAAGAGAUGCUUCUGAACAGCCUCCUGCUAAUUUGGAUCUUAUAUCUAGGAAGAGAUCUCAUUGCACUCUUGAUGAAAGCAACCAUGUUUCUCCUGCCAAAAAAAUGUCUCUCACUUCAGAAGAUGGUUGUCAACAAUAUACUUCUGAGGUGUGUUCAGAGAAAUUAAAUGUUUUUGAGGAAACAGGGGACUCUUACAAGGAACGAGGUAUUUUCCCUACCUCAGGAUGCACACAAGCAACUCCAGAACCUCAAAAAGAGAAACUUGAAACAACUUCUCAGAAUAUAGGGUCUAGGUCUGUUGGUAGAAUAAGAGAUAUGUGUAUAGAAAAGAAUAUGCCUCAGUUGCCUCAGGAUGAGAUGGUUGUAUCUGAUAAAGAAAAAGGAACAGAUUCUGCUUCUACAUCUGAACAAAUGGGUAGCAGAGUGGCACCUUCAAAAACUCCACUGUCCAGGCGUGGCAGAAGACCCCUGGGAUUUUUAUCUUUAAUAUGCUCAAAGAAUAAUUUGGAAUCUGAUGAACCUACUCACGUCCAUAGUAAGAAGCGCGUAAAACCUCUUAUACCUGUAUCGAGGAGGAAUUUGAAACAAUCUAAUCCACUUAGUGAAGGAGAGAAAAAAAAUCAAGAGUCCUCUGAUCUGCUUCCAUCUCCAAGUGUUGCUACUAAUACUCAGUCAGAGAAUAUUGACAGUUCAUCAGCUCAGGUUUCUUGUGAUCAGCCCUUACUGAAAGAAGAACAUAAAAGUGGCCAACACCGGGCACCUGAUCAGGAGCCAACCACAGUCUCUGAAUAUUUCUUCAGUGAUAUCUUCAUUGAAGUAGAUGAAACAGAAUGAAACAGUCUUUUGGGUUUCUUCUUCUUUUUUUCUUUUUUUAAGUAUUGGAAUUUCCAGAAUCAAUUACAUCAGCAAAGCAGCAUUUAGAAAAAAGCAUCACUGUUUAUUUUUCUUUAGGUCAAGUUUGAACAUCUAAUGAGCUCAAGUUAAAGCUUUUAUAAUUAAUGGAAAACAUUGUUGAGGUUCCUUUGGUUCUGAUUGAUUCAGCAUUUUGGAAAUACCAAGCAAUUAAGACUGCUUUCUCAGAAAUAACAACUCUUGUUUACAUUUUGACACUUCCUGUUUUGAGCACACAUGGACAUUGGGAAUAUUGUGGAUUAAUGGCUGUAUAAAUCAGUGCCGACAUUGGAGGUUGAUUGUAUUUAACAUUCAGUGAACUUCUUUUGUAAAGGUUUUUGUUUUUAUUUUCCUUUGGGAGGGAUGAUGAAGGCUCUUUCAGUUACCUCCAAGUAUAUGAAAGCAAAUUGUCCACUUGUAUGGUAAAGUUAAAAAACUUUUCUAUUAUCAGUUGUGUAUCUGACUCACUCAAAAAUAUGUAUUUUUCUAAUUCAUGGUGAUAUACCAUUAGUCCUAAUUGAAGAACUAGUAUUUAAAUUUACUAUUUAUAAGGUUGAUACAUCAAAGCUUAUUUAUUUUUAAAUUUUUAUUUAAAAGCAUACUCAGUUUUAAUUAUAUGCACCCCUCAGAUUGUGGGUAAAGAAGGCAUUAAAUUUUAUGUUUGUCUCCUUUCCCUCUUUAUUUGUAGAUUUUAAAAUGAUAUAACUGAAAAUGUUUGGGUAGUAUGUAUGGUUUAAAUGCUUUUUUUCCUCAUAGUUUAGUAUAUUGACUUUGUACUGUGAAUUUUUAUUUUUCUUAUUUCAUGGUAAUCUCAGGAUUUUCAGGGAGAGAAAAAACUCAACUUCACUUAGGAGACAAAUUCUCACACAAAACUCAGUCUUCUGUGGGGCACAGUGGCACACGCCUGUAAUCCCAGCAGCUCAGGAGGCUGAGGCAGGAGGAUCAUUAGUUCAAAGCCAGUUUCUACAGUUUAGUGAGGCUCUAAGCAACUUAGUGAGACCCUGUCAAAAAUUUUAAAAAAAGGGCUAGGGAUGUGGCUCAGUGGUUAAGCACCUCUGGGUCCAAUCCCUGGUAUCAAAAAAACUCAGUCUCCUUUACAUACACUCCUUAAAAAAAAGGUUUCUUGAUAGCUCCUCCCCCAACCCCUGUUUAAAGAACAUGUACCACAGAACAUAAAUGUGAUGUUAAAAACAAAAUAAGAACAAGAUUUUAAGAUUUUAUAAGGUCAGUAAUUGUCAUCAAUAUGAAUGUAAGUAUUUUUAAUUUUGAGAUUGAUAUUUCCAUUCAUUCUACCUGAACAAACCUUUCCUGUUUCAAAUUAAAUUUCUCAAAGAGCAGAUUUAUUCUGAUUUUAUUUGAAAAGCCUCCUAGCUGGACAUUAUGUAUUAGCUCUGGAGUUAUAAACUUCUGCAAAAUAUUUUUGAGUUUGCAGGCCAGCUGGUCUGUGUGGCAGCUAUGCAACUCUGCCACAGACAGUACUUGAAUGAAGGGCCAUGGCUGGAUUGUUUUUAGUUUAACCCUACAUUAAACAAUAGUUUUCUUACCUUAAGGUGCUGAUAUCUGUAUGUAUAAGUUAUUUGUCAUUGGAGUUAUGAGUUGUGCCUAUAAGUUAAAACUGUGUUGAUUGCAUUAUGAAAUGAUCAGUAUUUCAAUUGGGAAAAUAUUUUAAAGUCUAGAUAAUUUUAGGGUUUUGUAUAUUGAAAAAAUAGUGGCCAGUUUUCAAGUUUCUUAAAAAGAGGAUAAUGGCUUAGCAAGUUUAACAGUGAUGCCAAUUUAUUGGAACUUGCUAUUAGAGCAUCUUCUAUUUAUUGCCUUACAGAGAAAUUUACAAUUUAACUUUUUCUCGUGAAUUAAGAUCUGUAAAUCUGAGUGGAAAUUCUCUAUAUAAGUAUGCAUUUAUUUAUUUUAUUGAUUAAUGUCACAAAAUCAUGGUAGUAAAUCUCAUUGCUAUUUUAAUAACCUAUUUAUGUAAAUUUUAAAAAAUCUCAUAUUGUACUGAGUACAGUGACACAUGUCUGUAAUCCCAGGUACUUGAGAUGCUGAGGCAGGAGUAUGGUGAAUUUGAUCCCAUCAGGGACAACAUGGUGAGAACCUAUCUCAAAAACCAAACCAAACAAAACUCAUUCUGAAAUUCUUAAUUAGUCUUAGUUUGGGUAUUAGAUUGCCAUGACUAAAUUAUAAUUUAUCCCUGUAGAAUAUUUAUUUUUUAACUUUGCUAACAUCUACAAUAAACCAGUUUUAUGGAUGAUAAUUUCUUAUUGUAAAACAAUAACAAAUAUAGGGCAUUCAUUGUAUAGAGAAUCAAGUCAGUUAACAAAUUAUCCUACUGUUAUAGUCUUAAAACUUAUCUUGAUAAAGAGAAGUUUAAUCACUGUACUUACCUUACAAGAUGGAAUGAUCUGUGUUAAGUCUGAUUGAUGUAAAGGUGUUGCAAAAAAUUUAUUUUAUAAAUCUUGAAGGAGAUGUGAUUAAAAGCCUUUUCUUUUCUUUUCUUGACUUUUCCUCCUAAACACUUACAUCUUAGCAUGUGAUCAACAUGAUGGCUUCAAAGCCUAAUUGUUGGUAAAUGACUGAGGCACCGAUAAAAAUAUUAAUAUCCAUUGUUUACCAGCAUAUUAUUUUAAAAAGACGCAACCAUGUAUACUACCGCUUGAAGAAGUUGUUGACAAAAAAAGCAAUAUCUGUCAUAUGUAAAUUUUCUUGUUCUAAAGAAAGCAGUUAUGUUCUAUAGAUAUAAAUUAUGUAAAUAAAAGUUAUUUUAUAUCGUUUGUGUUGUAUUCUUUUCAAACAGAAAGAUCUUUAUUUCAGUUAACUGAAACUAGUUGCUGUUUUCAAGUUUUUUUUCCAUAAAAAUGAAGUAUAGCUGAAAGAAUAAAUUUUUAUUUUUAUAUGC